UCUCAAAGUCAGUUCGCUUUGCCUCUGUGUUGGAACGAUGAAACUUCAAAUCCUCCUAACCCUAUUAAUCCAAGUGGCAGUAAUUGAAUCCCUCAGGGAGGUCUCUGGGUACCUUGGGGAUACUGUCACCUUGUCCUCAGGUGCCGACCCAUCAUGGAAUCUUUCCUCAAUAGAAUGGUCAGUAUUCCCAAACAACACCUGGAUUGCCACCUACCGCAAUGGGAACAAAAACAUUGAACGGGUUGAUCGGUAUAAAGGUCGACUCAGUCUCAACACCUCCUCAGGUGACUUGAUGAUCCAUAAUUUGAACAAAGAGGAUGCCAUGGAAUAUACUGUAGACCUCAUCAAUACUCAGAGACAGAACAAGGGAACCAAAACUAAGCUCACAGUGAUACAACGCCUCAACAAACCGAUCAUCGAGACUGUCUCCUGUGCAUCUGUAAAAGGAGGCUCUUGGUUGUGGCUGCGUUGUUCCUCAAAGGAUACAGGCGUUAGCUUGUUGUGGCAGCAUACAUUGCCCAGUGUUACGCUCUUCAAAAUGACAAGUCCUGAUGGCAACUCUGCCGAUCUUUUAGGAUUUCUGAACACCACACAGAACCUUGUCGAAUUCACCUGCACCUCCAGCAGGAAUAUGGAGAAGGAGUCAAGUGUCGUCACUCCAAAGUGUGGUGAUGACAAGCCUCCGUCUCCGUCUCUGUCUCCGGCUCUGUCUCCGCCCAGAGAAAGAAAUGUUCUUGUUUUUUUUGUGGGAUUCCUCGUGGGAGCUUUACUUGUAGUAAUUAUAUUCGUUUUCAAAGCUCCAGCCCACGCAUCAAACCAAGAUACAAUACAACAUUUGUCCUAAAGGUUACAGUUUCCCAAAAUGACACCGAUAUAGCUCCUAUCGUUGACUUUACACUGUGUUGAGAACAUAGACACAUACAUGUGACCAUAAAAACAGCCCAGCUGUAAUUUUAAAGCAAUUAUGUUGACAUUGUUUUUAAAUUACAGAACAAAUCAAAGCUGCAUGGGGACACCUUCAAGGAAAACUGUUUCCAUCAAAAUAAUAUCAUAAUAGCUUGACUUUCUGCUUUGACUGUCCCAGGUUUUGCAGUAACAAGUGGUAACAUAAUGUCUCUUUUCUACAAAGCCAGAAUGACUUCACAUACACAUGACACAAUAUAUUGAAUACAUGUACAAUCUAAUUCAAACCACUAAAACAAUUUCAAAAUCAAGAUAACCAACACAGACACAAACCAAAAGCUUCACAAUAAUAACAUUUUAUUGUACAGGUGUUAAUGACAGUAUUUUAUGCAUCUUUAUUGCAAAACCCUCACUUUUAUUUAAUUCAUUUUCUCUGGUUCUCAUGUCUUUUUUCUUUUUUAGUAUCCUGUCAUGUGAAUUUUUUAUUUUUUUUUUUUUAAAUUUCAACUUUGGAAAUUGUGAGGUACUUAUAUGUAUUAAUAGGUAUUUUUUGUGUGUCUAUAUACAUGUAUAUGUGUAACAGAGUUUUUUAGUGAGUCCACUUGCCAGGGUUUAAUCAUCCAAUACAAAUAGGUGUUAUUGACAUUCUGUAUUGUGAUUGGUCAGUGGGCGUCUCCUCUGUAUGCCCUUGUACGUGAUUUAGCGGUGCCAGUGCAGAAGAGCGUGCCUGUGGUAGGCUGGAUCGCACCCAGUCAUAAGCACAUUUUGAUUGUUUCUUUUAAUAAUAUUUCAUUUACAUGCUAUGUUGAUAUGAUGAUGUAUAAAUACUUUCGUGUGAUGUAACAACGGCUAUGUAUACACUGUUUGAAAUGCUUAUUUCGUGAAAUGUAAAGAAAGCUGCUAAGAAUGACUGGGUGUGUACGCUGUGUCCUACGUGGCUGACCAGGAUAUAAUUCUUUGUUCACCAGGUACAUAUUGUAUUUUUGUUUACACAUUUAUUUAAUUUAGUGUCGUGUUGUAAUAUUAUAUAAUAGGCCAGUGCACGAGGAGCGUGCCCGUGAAUGACCGUGGGUGUGUAUGCUGUGUCCUACGUGGCUGACCAGGAUAUAAUUCUUUGUUCACCAGAAUAAAUCAGACCAGAUUGAGAUGCAAGUGUGAAGUCUGCAAUUAAUACACAACGCAGAGAUGAUAUUGGUUACAUAUUAUCAAGCUUUUUUGAUAAUUUCAAUGCUUAAAAGGGCAAACUAUAUGUAGAUGUAAUGUAUGCACUAGAUAUAUUGUGCUGUUCUGUCUCAGUGUUUGUUGUAAACUAUUUUCCAAUGUUAUGUACCAUUUUGACUGAAGUAUUGUAAAUACAUGUGUGUGGAAGAGUAA
Molecule: RNA transcript, 2277 nt
Organism: Perca fluviatilis (European perch)
Lineage: Eukaryota; Metazoa; Chordata; Actinopteri; Perciformes; Percidae
Exons: 7
Source: RefSeq, a predicted model, not a curated record